This 500-nucleotide ribosomal RNA is filed under the name uncultured bacterium. Its description in RNAcentral is "bacterial SSU rRNA". It matches the Rfam family "Bacterial small subunit ribosomal RNA", at positions 18 to 507 of the family's 1533-position model. The record is from RNAcentral.
CCUGGCUCAGGAUGAACGCUAGCUACAGGCUUAACACAUGCAAGUCGAGGGGAAACGAUAGAGAAGCUUGCUUUUCUAGGCGUCGACCGGCGCACGGGUGAGUAACGCGUAUCCAACCUGCCCAUCACUUGGGGGAUAACCUUGCGAAAGUAAGACUAAUACCCAAUGACGUCUCUAGAAGACAUCUGAAAGAGAUUAAAGAUUUAUCGGUGAUGGAUGGGGAUGCGUCUGAUUAGCUUGUUGGCGGGUAACGGCCCACCAAGGCGACGAUCAGUAGGGGUUCUGAGAGGAAGGUCCCCCACAUUGGAACUGAGACACGGUCCAAACUCCUACGGGAGGCAGCAGUGAGGAAUAUUGGUCAAUGGACGAGAGUCUGAACCAGCCAAGUAGCGUGCAGGAUGACGGCCCUAUGGGUUGUAAACUGCUUUUAUAAGGGAAUAAAGUGAGUCUCGUGAGACUUUUUGCAUGUACCUUAUGAAUAAGGACCGGCUAAUUCCGUG